UACGUAGGGUCCGAGCGUUGUCCGGAAUUACUGGGCGUAAAGCGCGCGCAGGCGGCCCGCGAGGUGUCACGUGAAAGCCCCGGGCUCAACCCGGGAGGGUCGUGGCAAACCGGCGGGCUUGAGGCCGGUAGAGGUGGGUGGAACUCCUGGUGGAGUGGUGAAAUGCGUAGAGAUCAGGAAGAACCCCCGUGGCGAAGGCGGCCCACUGGGCCGGUACUGACGCUGAGGCGCGAAGGCGUGGGGAGCGAACGGG
Molecule: ribosomal RNA, 253 nt
Filed under: uncultured bacterium
Lineage: Bacteria
Description: partial 16S ribosomal RNA
Rfam family: Bacterial small subunit ribosomal RNA
Source: RNAcentral